ACAGACCUCACAUCACGUCCCAUGUACCCAUGAUCACGUGUUUCCUUCACACCCUGGAGGACUAUCUUCCCUGAGAGUUCCAAGGCAACCAUUCCCAGUUCUGUCCUAUGCUCAUUCAUAUGAAGCUGGAUGAGUAGCAUGCCUUCUUCUCUAUGCUAAAGGUUCCUGCUCUGUUGGAGUUCCUGUCCUGACUUCCUUCAGUGAUGAAAAGUGACAUGGAAGUGUCAGCCACAUAAACCCUUUGCUCCACCAAGUUGCUUUGGUCAUGGUGUUUCAUCACAGCAAUAGAAACCCUAACUAAGAUACCAAAGCUAGCCUUAAACUUGCAAUCAUCCAGCCUGAGAUCCCUGAACAUCUGUAAUUGUAGAAUAUAUGCCACCAUGCCCAGCUCUGAUUCCUUUGAAUAGUUUUCU
Molecule: long non-coding RNA, 413 nt
Organism: Meriones unguiculatus (Mongolian gerbil)
Lineage: Eukaryota; Metazoa; Chordata; Mammalia; Rodentia; Muridae
Exons: 3
Source: RefSeq, a predicted model, not a curated record